AGAGUUGAUCGAUGGCUCAGGACGAACGCUGGCGGCGUGCCUAACACAUGCAAGUCGAGCGGGGACAUUGCGACGGAGACGAAGUACUCGUACGGAGUCAAAGAUGUAAUGUUCUAGCGGCGGACGGGUGAGUAACGCGUGAGCAACCUGUCCCUUACAGGGGGAUAACACAGCGAAAGUUGUACUAAUACCGCAUGAGACCACAGUAUCACAUGGUGCAGGGGUCAAAGGAGCAAUCCGGUAAGGGGUGGGCUCGCGUCCGAUUAGAUAGUUGGUGAGGUAACGGCCCACCAAGUCGACGAUCGGUAGCCGACCUGAGAGGGUGAUCGGCCACAUUGGGACUGAGACACGGCCCAAACUCCUACGGGAGGCAGCAGUGGGGAAUAUUGGGCAAUAGGGGGGAAACCCUGACCCAGCAACGCCGCGUGAGGGAAGAAGGUUUUCGGAUCGUAAACCUCUGUCCCAGGUGAAGAGGAAGAGACGGUAGCCUGGGAGGAAGCCCCGGCUAACUACGUGCCAGCCGCCGC
RNAcentral lists this ribosomal RNA (527 nucleotides) under uncultured bacterium. RNAcentral's name for it is "bacterial SSU rRNA". It matches the Rfam family "Bacterial small subunit ribosomal RNA", at positions 8 to 518 of the family's 1533-position model. The record is from RNAcentral.